UACGUAGGGGGCUAGCGUUGUCCGGAAUCAUUGGGCGUAAAGCGCGUGUAGGCGGUCCGGUAAGUCCGCUGGGAAAGUCGGGGGCUCAACCCUCGGAUGCCGGUGGAUACUGUCGGGCUUGAGUACGGAAGAGGCGAGUGGAAUUCCUGGUGUAGCGGUGAAAUGCGCAGAUAUCAGGAGGAACACCAAUUGCGAAGGCAGCUCGCUGGGACGUUACUGACGCUGAGACGCGAAAGCGUGGGGAGCAAACAGG
Molecule: ribosomal RNA, 253 nt
Filed under: uncultured bacterium
Lineage: Bacteria
Description: partial 16S ribosomal RNA
Rfam family: Bacterial small subunit ribosomal RNA
Source: RNAcentral